This 343-nucleotide unclassified non-coding RNA is filed under the name soil metagenome. RNAcentral describes it as "partial contains 5.8S ribosomal RNA, internal transcribed spacer 2, and large subunit ribosomal RNA". The stretch from base 1 to 120 matches the Rfam family "5.8S ribosomal RNA", at positions 35 to 154 of the family's 154-position model. The record is from RNAcentral.
GAUGAAGAACGUAGCGAAAUGCGAUAAGUAAUGUGAAUUGCAGAAUUCAGUGAAUCAUCGAAUCUUUGAACGCACAUUGCGCCCGCCAGCAUUCUGGCGGGCAUGCCUGUUCGAGCGUCAUUUCAACCCUCGAGCCCCCCCGGGGGCCUCGGUGUUGGGGGACGGCACACCAGCCGCCCCCGAAAUGCAGUGGCGACCCCGCCGCAGCCUCCCCUGCGUAGUAGCACACACCUCGCACCGGAGCGCGGAGGCGGUCACGCCGUAAAACGCCCAACUUUCUUAGAGUUGACCGCGGAUCAGGUAGGAAUACCCGCUGAACUUAAGCAUAUCAAUAAGCGGAGGA